This 1522-nucleotide ribosomal RNA is filed under the name metagenome. RNAcentral describes it as "bacterial SSU rRNA". It matches the Rfam family "Bacterial small subunit ribosomal RNA". The record is from RNAcentral.
AGAGUUUGAUCAUGGCUCAGAUUGAACGCUGGCGGCAGGCCUAACACAUGCAAGUCGAACGGUAACAGGAAACAGCUUGCUGUUUCGCUGACGAGUGGCGGACGGGUGAGUAAUGUCUGGGAAACUGCCUGAUGGAGGGGGAUAACUACUGGAAACGGUAGCUAAUACCGCAUAACGUCGCAAGACCAAAGAGGGGGACCUUCGGGCCUCUUGCCAUCAGAUGUGCCCAGAUGGGAUUAGCUAGUAGGUGGGGUAACGGCUCACCUAGGCGACGAUCCCUAGCUGGUCUGAGAGGAUGACCAGCCACACUGGAACUGAGACACGGUCCAGACUCCUACGGGAGGCAGCAGUGGGGAAUAUUGCACAAUGGGCGCAAGCCUGAUGCAGCCAUGCCGCGUGUAUGAAGAAGGCCUUCGGGUUGUAAAGUACUUUCAGCGGGGAGGAAGGGAGUAAAGUUAAUACCUUUGCUCAUUGACGUUACCCGCAGAAGAAGCACCGGCUAACUCCGUGCCAGCAGCCGCGGUAAUACGGAGGGUGCAAGCGUUAAUCGGAAUUACUGGGCGUAAAGCGCACGCAGGCGGUUUGUUAAGUCAGAUGUGAAAUCCCCGGGCUCAACCUGGGAACUGCAUCUGAUACUGGCAAGCUUGAGUCUCGUAGAGGGGGGUAGAAUUCCAGGUGUAGCGGUGAAAUGCGUAGAGAUCUGGAGGAAUACCGGUGGCGAAGGCGGCCCCCUGGACGAAGACUGACGCUCAGGUGCGAAAGCGUGGGGAGCAAACAGGAUUAGAUACCCUGGUAGUCCACGCCGUAAACGAUGUCGACUUGAAGGUUGUGCCCUUGAGGCGUGGCUUCCGGAGCUAACGCGUUAAGUCGACCGCCUGGGGAGUACGGCCGCAAGGUUAAAACUCAAAUGAAUUGACGGGGGCCCGCACAAGCGGUGGAGCAUGUGGUUUAAUUCGAUGCAACGCGAAGAACCUUACCUGGUCUUGACAUCCACGGAAGUUUUCAGAGAUGAGAAUGUGCCUUCGGGAACCGUGAGACAGGUGCUGCAUGGCUGUCGUCAGCUCGUGUUGUGAAAUGUUGGGUUAAGUCCCGCAACGAGCGCAACCCUUAUCCUUUGUUGCCAGCGGUCCGGCCGGGAACUCAAAGGAGACUGCCAGUGAUAAACUGGAGGAAGGUGGGGAUGACGUCAAGUCAUCAUGGCCCUUACGACCAGGGCUACACACGUGCUACAAUGGCGCAUACAAAGAGAAGCGACCUCGCGAGAGCAAGCGGACCUCAUAAAGUGCGUCGUAGUCCGGAUUGGAGUCUGCAACUCGACUCCAUGAAGUCGGAAUCGCUAGUAAUCGUGGAUCAGAAUGCCACGGUGAAUACGUUCCCGGGCCUUGUACACACCGCCCGUCACACCAUGGGAGUGGGUUGCAAAAGAAGUAGGUAGCUUAACCUUCGGGAGGGCGCUUACCACUUUGUGAUUCAUGACUGGGGUGAAGUCGUAACAAGGUAACCGUAGGGGAACCUGCGGUUG